This 440-nucleotide ribosomal RNA is filed under the name uncultured beta proteobacterium. RNAcentral describes it as "bacterial SSU rRNA". It matches the Rfam family "Bacterial small subunit ribosomal RNA", at positions 201 to 632 of the family's 1533-position model. The record is from RNAcentral. Lineage: Bacteria; Pseudomonadati; Pseudomonadota; Betaproteobacteria.
GGAUCGCAAGACCUUGCGCUUUUGGAGCGGCCGAUGUCUGAUUAGCUAGUUGGUGAGGUAAAGGCUUACCAAGGCUUCGAUCAGUAGCUGGUCUGAGAGGACAACCAGCCACACUGGGACUGAGACACGGCCCAGACUCCUACGGGAGGCAGCAGUGGGGAAUUUUGGACAAUGGGGGAAACCCUGAUCCAGCCAUGCCGCGUGAGUGAAGAAGGCCUUCGGGUUGUAAAGCUCUUUCAGCCGGAACGAAAAGGUUACGGUUAAUACCCGUGACUACUGACGGUACCGGAAGAAGAAGCACCGGCUAACUACGUGCCAGCAGCCGCGGUAAUACGUAGGGUGCAAGCGUUAAUCGGAAUUACUGGGCGUAAAGCGUGCGCAGGCGGUUCUGUAAGUCAGAUGUGAAAUUCCCGGGCUCAACCUGGGAACUGCGUUUGAAA